Non-coding RNA from Paramuricea clavata, 315 nucleotides. The record is from the annotation of a GenBank genome assembly. Lineage: Eukaryota; Metazoa; Cnidaria; Anthozoa; Malacalcyonacea; Plexauridae.
GAAAAAUGUCGACCAGUUCAUUUCCUAACUUGAAGGAACACCUCUGAACAAUUCCUCAACAAUUUGAUAAGUUCCUUAAAAAGUUCCUAACUUCCUGUUUCAUUGACCAAUCAAAUUUUAUAUUUUAUUUUUGAGCAAUCUGAUUGGUCAAUGUCUCAAUGAAACAGGAAGUUAGGAACUUUUUAAGGAAUUUAUCAAAUUGUUGAGGAAUUGUCCAGAUCACAGAGGAAGUAGAUACAGAGAUCUCACUUCAGGUAAUUUCGCGUAAGGUUUUUUUUCAGUCCGCCAUGUUCUUAGCAAGUGCCCUAAAGAGAG